GGAGCAGACUUGUUCUGUGACUGCGUACCUUUUGUAUAAUGGGUCAGCGACUUACUUCUCAGUAGCAAGGUUAACCAUUAGGGGAGCCGUAGGGAAACCGAGUCUUAAAUGGGCGUUUAGUUGCUGGGAGUAGACCCGAAACCGGGUGAUCUAUCCAUGGUCAGUGUGAAGGUCAGGUAAAACUGACUGGAGGCGCGAACCCACUUAUGUUGAAAAAUGAGGGGAUGAACUGUGGAUAGGGGUGAAAGGCCAAACAAACCCGGAGAUAGCUGGUUCUCUCCGAAAUCUAUUUAGGUAGAGCGUCGCGUAUUACUUCUGGGGGUAGAGCACUGUUAUGGCUAGCGGGUCGUCAAGGCUUAGUAAACCAUUGCAAACUCCGAAUACCAGAAAGUAUGAGCGCGGCAGACACACUGCGGGUGCUAACGUCCGUAGUGGAAAGGGAAACAACCCAGACCGUCAGCUAAGGUCCCAAAAUUAUAGUUAAGUGGGAAACGAUGUGAAAAGGCCCAGACAGCCAGGAGGUUGGCUUAGAAGCAGCCAUUCCUUUAAAGAGUGCGUAAUAGCUCACUGGUCGAGUCGGUUUGCGCGGAAGAUUUAACGGGGCUAAACUAUAUACCGAAGCUGCGGAUCGCAAUUUAUUGCGAUGGUAGGAGAGCGUUCUGUAAGCCGUUGAAGGUGAACUGUGAGGUUUGCUGGAGGUAUCAGAAGUGCGAAUGCUGACAUGAGUAACGAUAAAGGGGGUGAAAAACCCCCUCGCCAGAAGUCCAAGGUUUCCUACGCAACGUUAAUCGGCGUAGGGUUAGUCGGCCCCUAAGGCGAGGCAGAAAUGCGUAGUCGAUGGGAAACGGGUUAAUAUUCCCGUACUUCAUAUAACUGCGAUGGGAAGACGGAGUAGGUUAGCUCAGCAAGGCGAUGGUUGUCCUUGUUCAAGCGUGUAGAAAUGGUUCUUAGGAAAAUCCGGGAACCUCUAUUUCAAGGCGUGAUAACGAGCCCUCUUUUGGGCGAAGUGAGUGAGACCAUGCUUCCAGGAAAAUCCUCUAAGCUAUAGGUUAUAUGAAAUCGUACCCCAAACCGACACAGGUGGACGAGAUGAGAAUUCUAAGGCGCUUGAGAGAACUCGGGUGAAGGAACUAGGCAAAAUGACACCGUAACUUCGGGAGAAGGUGUGCUCUUGUUAUGUGAUAUCACUUGCUGAUUGAGCAAAGAAGAGCUGAAAAAACUAGGUGGCUGCGACUGUUUAUUAAAAACACAGCACUCUGCAAACACGUAAGUGGACGUAUAGGGUGUGACUCCUGCCCGGUGCUUGAAGGUUAAUUGAUGAGGUUAGCGCUUGCGCGAAGCUUUUGAUCGAAGCCCAAGUAAACGGCGGCCGUAACUAUAACGGUCCUAAGGUAGCGAAAUUCCUUGUCGGGUAAGUUCCGACCUGCACGAAUGGCGUAACGACGGCCACACUGUCUCCACCCGAGACUCAGUGAAAUUGAAAUCGCUGUUAAGAUGCAGUGUAUCCGCGGCUAGACGGAAAGACCCCGUGAACCUUUACUAUAGCUUCACAGUGAACUUUGAACCUAUUUGUGUAGGAUAGGUGGGAGGCUUUGAAGCGGUGACGCUAGUCAUCGUGGAGCCAAACUUGAAAUACCACCCUGGUAUGUUUGAGGUUCUAACUCAGGUCCGUAAUCCGGAUCGAGGACACUGUGUGGUGGGUAGUUUGACUGGGGCGGUCUCCUCCCAAAGAGUAACGGAGGAGCACGAAGGUACACUAAGCAUGGUCGGACAUCAUGCGGUUAGUGCAAUGGCAUAAGUGUGCUUGACUGCGAGACAGACACGUCGAGCAGGUACGAAAGUAGGUCAUAGUGAUCCGGUGGUUCUGUAUGGAAGGGCCAUCGCUCAACGGAUAAAAGGUACGCCGGGGAUAACAGGCUGAUACCCCCCAAGAGUUCACAUCGACGGGGGUGUUUGGCACCUCGAUGUCGGCUCAUCACAUCCUGGGGCUGGAGCAGGUCCCAAGGGUAUGGCUGUUCGCCAUUUAAAGUGGUACGCGAGCUGGGUUUAGA
RNAcentral lists this ribosomal RNA (2051 nucleotides) under marine metagenome. Its description in RNAcentral is "bacterial LSU rRNA". It matches the Rfam family "Bacterial large subunit ribosomal RNA", at positions 576 to 2615 of the family's 2925-position model. The record is from RNAcentral.